Molecule: long non-coding RNA, 487 nt
Organism: Capra hircus (goat)
Lineage: Eukaryota; Metazoa; Chordata; Mammalia; Artiodactyla; Bovidae
Exons: 4
Source: RefSeq, a predicted model, not a curated record
UACAUUAUCGCGAGGCCCUGUUCGACAUGAAGAAAUGGAGGUUAGAGAGCUGCCCAGGUCCCCCAGGUGGUCCAGUUGAAAGGACCAGGCUGAUCUGAUUGCUGAGCACCCGAGUUCUGGACAGGUACAGAUCGGUGUUCACCAAGGGUCUUCCCAGUGCAUGCCCGGCCGGGGCCCCACUAUGGCAACGCAGAAGCCGACCUUGGCCAAGCUCUGGAAGAGGCAGCCCUCCCACAGAACCUUCGGAACACACACAGCAGGCAUGGUGUGUCGCCAUUGGUCCUGUAGGGCAGAGAGAGGAAAAGUCGACCUUCAGGUCCUGGAAGCCCUGGUGGGACCCAGUGGCCAGCCUUGGGAGAGCACUCAGGCUGCACCGCCCCCCAGGCUUGCUCCGAUGCGCAUACAAAACUCAUGUUUUGACUCCUCUGGUGACGCAGUAGAUAAGAAUCCACCUGCCAAUGCAGGGAACAGAGGUUCGAACCUUUGU